AUUGCACGCUGGCGGCAGGCCUAACACAUGCAAGUCGAGCGGAGCGGCGGACGGGUGAGUAAUGCCUAGGAAUCUGCCUGGUAGUGGGGGCUAACGUCCGGAAACGGGCGCUAAUACCGCAUACUCUCAUAUUAGCCUAGGUCGGAUUAGCUAGUUGGUGGGGUAAAGGCCUACCAAGGCGACGAUCCGUAACUGGUCUGAGAGGAGGAUCAGUAACACUGGAACGGAGACAAGGUCCAGACUCCUACGGGAGGCAGCAGUGGGGAAUAUUGGACAAUGGGCGAAAGCCUGAUCCAGCCAUGCCGAGUGUGGGAAGAAGGUCUUCGGAUUGUAAAGCACUUUAAGUUGGGAGGCGUUACCAACAGAAUAAGCACCGGCUAACUUCGUGCCAGCAGCCGCGGUAAUAC
Molecule: ribosomal RNA, 407 nt
Filed under: uncultured bacterium
Lineage: Bacteria
Description: partial 16S ribosomal RNA
Rfam family: Bacterial small subunit ribosomal RNA
Source: RNAcentral